RNAcentral lists this ribosomal RNA (1284 nucleotides) under Triticum aestivum (bread wheat). RNAcentral describes it as "partial small subunit ribosomal RNA". The record is from RNAcentral. Lineage: Eukaryota; Viridiplantae; Streptophyta; Magnoliopsida; Poales; Poaceae.
AUGAUAAUGUCAUGUCAGAAAAUUGGCUUGGCAAGAACAGAGCACUUACCCGUGAUGUACCUCGACGAGAGCUGCGCGGCAAUGACGAGCGCGCGGUCCUGGAUCCUCACACCAUGGUGGCCCUCGUACUUCUCCUUGAGCCCUCUCAGUAUGCUGACGGUGUCGGGGACGCUGGGCUCCGCCACGAACACCUGCUGGAACCGCCUCUCGAACGCCGCGUCCUUCUCCACGUACUUCCUGUACUCCUCGAGGGUCGUGGCGCCGAUGCACCUGAGCUGCCCCCUCGCCAGCAUCGGCUUGAACAGGUUGGCGGCGUCCAUGGACCCCUCCGUCCGCCCGGCGCCGAGCACCAGGUGUAUCUCGUCGAUGAACAGGAUCACCUUCCCCUCGGCCUCCUCCACCUCCUUGAGCACGGCCUUGAGCCGCUCCUCGAACUCGCCGCGGUACUUGGCGCCGGCCACGAGCGCGCCCAUGUCCAGCGCCACCAGGCGCACGUCCAGGAGGUUGCUGGGGACGUCGCCGCGCACGACGCGCUGCGCGAGCCCCUCCACGACGGCGGUCUUGCCCACGCCGGGCUCGCCGAUGAGGACGGGGUUGUUCUUGGUGCGCCGCGACAGGAUCCGCACCACGCGCCGGAUCUCCUCGUCGCGGCCGAUGACCGGGUCCAGCUUGCCGGCCACCUCCACCAGGUCGCGGCCGUACGUCUUGAGGGCCUGGAAGUUGGUGUCCCCCGACGCCGACUCCACGCGCCGGUUGUCGCCUCCCCGGAGCUUCUCCACCUCGGCCUUCACCCGCGCGGCGGAGAUACCGGCCUCCUUGAGCGCGUCGGAGAUCUGCGCGUCCUCGAGGAGGCCCAUGAGCAGCUGGUCGACGGCGAGGUGCGAGUCGCCGCGCGACUUCUGCGCCGACUGCGCGCGGCGGACGGCCUUGACCAGCGAGGUGGAGGCCGGGACGGUGUCGGGCGGCGGGGACUGCGAGGGCAGCCGCUUGAGCGCGGCGGACGCGACGCGCUCGAACGAAUCGGCCGCGGCGUCGUUGCCGCCGGACGCGUGGGCGAUGGCCUGGCGGAGGAUGCCCGACCUGUCCGCCGCGAGCGCCGCGGCGAGGUGCAGCGGCGUGAGCUGCGCGUGGCCGGCCUCGGACGCCAUCUCGUGCGCCGCCGCGAGCGCCUCAUUGGUCUUGUGCGUGAACUUGUCGGGAUUCAUGUCUUCCUCUUCUGCGAGCUACGGAUUAACCGCAACGGAACUGGCAAUGGUGAUUGGGGGGGAUUCGUUGGUUGGAUGA